AAUGAGAAAAUAUGAAUUUAUACUAGAACACUAUUAAUCACUGUGAAAAUCAGAAUAACUGCCAAUCUGGCAACUACAUUGCCAAACCCUGGCAACAUUAUGGCCAAGCUCUGGUCCAAGGCGUGACGUGUUGCUUGUUCAUGCUGAGCCCUUUGACCAGAGCAAUAUCACACCAACCCUGGCAACAUUAUGGCCAAGCUCUGGUCCAAGGCGUGACGUGUUGCUUGUUCAUGCUGAGCCCUUUGACCAGAACAGUAUCACACCAACCCUGGCAACAUUAUGGCCAAGCUCUGGUCCAAGGCGUGACGUGUUGCUUGUUCAUGCUGAGCCCUUUGACCAGAACAGUAUCACACCAACCUGGCAACAUCAUGGCCAAGCUCUGGUCCAAGGCGUGACAUGUUGCUUGUUCAUGCUGAGCCCUUUGACCAGAGCAAUAUCACACCAACCCUGCCAACAUUAUGGCCAAGCUCUGGUCCACGGCGUGACGUGUUGCUUGUUCAUGCUGAGCCCUUUGACCAGAGCAAUAUCACACCAACCUGGCAACAUUAUGGCCAAGCUCUGGUCCAAGGUGUGACAUGUUGCUUGUUCAUGCUGAGCCCUUUGACCAGAACAGUAUCACACCAACCUGGCAACAUCAUGGCCUAAUCUUAUUUUCACAUCUAAAAUCUGUCUGAUUUGUCUUCAAGAUCACUGCAUGUUAAAUUAAAGGGUGUUUAUUCUGUCAGCUGAAAUUCAAAUUAAAC
Long non-coding RNA from Oncorhynchus tshawytscha (Chinook salmon), 743 nucleotides. Lineage: Eukaryota; Metazoa; Chordata; Actinopteri; Salmoniformes; Salmonidae. The record is from Ensembl.